This 468-nucleotide ribosomal RNA is filed under the name uncultured bacterium. RNAcentral's name for it is "partial 16S ribosomal RNA". It matches the Rfam family "Bacterial small subunit ribosomal RNA", at positions 28 to 507 of the family's 1533-position model. The record is from RNAcentral.
GACGAACGCUGGCGGCGUGCUUAACACAUGCCAGUCGAACGGACAGGCCCUGCUCUUGUGGGGUGCUCGAGUGGCGAACGGGUGAGUAACACGUGAGUAACCUGCCCUUGUCUUUGGGAUAAAUUCAGGAAACUGGGGCUAAUACCGGAUAGGAGCUCCUGAUGCACGGGGGGGGUUGGAAAGUUUCGGCGGUUGGGGCUGGACUCGCGGCUUAUCAGCUUGUUGGGCGGGUAGUGGCUUUCCAAGGCUUUGACGGGUAGCCGGCCUGGGAGGGUGACCAGCCUCAUUGGGCCUAAGGUACGGACCAGACGGCUACGGGAGGCAGCGGUGGAGAGUAUUGCGCAGUGGGCGGAAGCCUGAUGCGGCAGCGCCGCGUGCGGAAUGACGGCCUUCGGGUUGUAAACCGCUUUCGCCUGUGACGAAGCGUGAGUGACGGUAAUGAGUAAAAAAGCACCGGCUAACUACGUG